This 253-nucleotide ribosomal RNA is filed under the name uncultured bacterium. RNAcentral describes it as "partial 16S ribosomal RNA". It matches the Rfam family "Bacterial small subunit ribosomal RNA", at positions 524 to 776 of the family's 1533-position model. The record is from RNAcentral.
UACAGAGGUCCCAAGCGUUGUUCGGAUUCAUUGGGCGUAAAGGGUGCGUAGGCGGCGCGGUAAGUCGGGUGUGAAAUCUCGGGGCUUAACUCCGAAACUGCAUUCGAUACUGCCGUGCUUGAGGACUGGAGAGGAGACUGGAAUUCUCGGUGUAGCGGUGAAAUGCGUAGAUAUCGAGAGGAGCACCUGCGGCGAAGGCGGGUUGCUGGGCCGACACUGACGCUGAUGCGCGAAAGCCAGGGGAGCGAACGGG